UACGUAGGUGGCAAGCGUUGUCCGGAAUUACUGGGCGUAAAGCGUGCGCAGGCGGUUCGUUGUGUCGGUGGUGAAAGCCCCGGGCUUAACCUGGGAAUGGCCAUGGAAACUGGCGAACUGGAGUGUGGCAGAGGGGGGUGGAAUUCCGCGUGUAGCAGUGAAAUGCGUAGAGAUGCGGAGGAACACCGAUGGCGAAGGCAGCCCCCUGGGCUAGCACUGACGCUCAGGCACGAAAGCGUGGGGAGCAAACAGG
Molecule: ribosomal RNA, 253 nt
Filed under: uncultured bacterium
Lineage: Bacteria
Description: partial 16S ribosomal RNA
Rfam family: Bacterial small subunit ribosomal RNA
Source: RNAcentral